Molecule: RNA transcript, 4166 nt
Organism: Helianthus annuus (common sunflower)
Lineage: Eukaryota; Viridiplantae; Streptophyta; Magnoliopsida; Asterales; Asteraceae
Gene name: RNA-dependent RNA polymerase 6
Exons: 4
Source: RefSeq, a predicted model, not a curated record
AAGUUUAAAUAAUAAUUCAAAGCAGUAUACUUUUCUCUGUUUCCCCAAACCCCUUUUGCGGUUUUGGUGAAGAAGAAGAAGACACCGUUUCUGCGUGAGCAUCAAGCACAAGUACGAUCAUAUUUCUUUUGUGUUCUUCAUCACUCGAUCGCUUCACAACAAACAUUCAAUUCUCUAAUUUCACCGGUUGGGUUGUUCUCUGAAGUGUGUGUUCCGUACAAAACCAACUAAAGGUUUGAUGUUGAACUAAUAGUUGUUUGAUCACACAAAGAAAGCAGCUAGUUUAACGAUACAAAAUGGGUUCAGAAGGAAACGAUAGAGAGUUGGUGGUCUCACAAGUCAGUAUAGGUGGGUUCGGCAACGAAGUAACCGCAAAGAUGCUAUUGGAUUAUCUUGAAAGCACACAUGGUCAGAUCUAUAGAUGUAGGUUAAAAAAGUCUUCGACUCCACCCGAAACGUAUCCUGAAUUCAAUGCUGACCUUGACCAAAUCAAGAUCGUCACCGAUUACGAAAAGGUUGAACCGCAUGCAUUUGUGCAUUUUGUAGAUCCCAAUUCGGUCACCUCGGUUCUAGAGGCUGCAGGAAGAAAGGAGCUCGUACUUGACAAACAUGUUUUAAAAGUUAGUUUAGGCCCGGAAAAUCCUUAUAGAAUGAACCAACGCAGAAGAAAGAAAACGUCAUUUAAGCUGUCAAAUGUGGUUCUUGAAAUCGGGCUGAUGACUAGCCGGGAUGACUUUGUUGUUGGUUGGCGUGGGCCUGAUUCUGGCGUUGACUUUCUUAUUGACCCGUUUGACCGUAGCUGCAAGUUUCUGCUCACGAAAGACACGGCUUUUUGUUUCAAAGGGACCAAGGAUCACGCGGUUAUAAGAUGUAACUAUAAAGUUGAGUUUUUGGUGAGGGAUGUUAAUGAUAUUAAAGAGUAUACGGAUUACUCAGAGUCGUGUUUGGUGUUAGUUUUUCAGUUAGCAUCGUCUCCUUUGAUAUCUUAUAGAACUGCUGAUGAUGACAUUAUCAACACGUAUCCGUUUGAAAUGUUGGACGAUGAUGAUCCAUGGAUCCGGACCACUGAUUUCACGCCAAGUGGCGCCAUCGGGAGAUGUAAUACUUAUCGGGUUAUGAUCCGGAUUCGAGAUGGGUCGAAGGUGAAAAAAGCUUUAGAAUUUCUUAAAGAACAAAGGGUGCAUGUCGAGCAUCGUAAAACAAAACUCAAAGCGGAAAACGAACCCGAAUUUGGAUUCCCAAUUCCCGACCCGUUUUUCUCUAUUCAUUACAAACCAGACAUCUCUUUUAAAGUUAUGUUCUUGGUCAACUCAGUGUUACACAGAUGCAUCAUCAACCAGCAUCAAUUUACAGAAAAUGUCUUUGACUUACUAAGAGAUCAAUCCGAAGAAGUCAACGUGGCUGCUUUAAAGCACAUCUGUGCUUACCGACACCCUUUAUACGAUGGAUUUAAACGUUUGAAAACCGUUCAAGAAUGGUUGUUAAACACCCCGAAGCGUAUCGAGAAACCGUUGGAGCAAAAUGACGUGAUUGAAGUUGGGAGAUUAAUCAUAACUCCAACAAAAGCUUACGCUUUACCACCAGAAGUUGAAUUAUCAAACCGUGUUCUUCGCCAUUAUCGACAAGUAUCCGAUCGGUUUCUACGGGUCACAUUCAUGGACGAAGGAAUGAGAACUUUAAACAAUAAUGUUCUUAAUUUCUACCCUGCCCCAAUCGUUAAAGACGUCACUUCAACUUUUAUGGCACAAAAAACAACCAUGUUUAGGCGGGUAAAAGAUAUUUUGAGUAACGGGUUUCAUUUAUCGGGACGUCAAUAUUGUUUUUUGGCUUUUUCUGCAAACCAACUUCGGGAUCGGUCCGCAUGGUUUUUUGCUGAAAAUGGAAAGAUUUCGUGUAAAAAUAUCAUUGCAUGGAUGGGAAGGUUUAAUAAUAAAAAUAUCGCGAAAUGUGCUGCUAGAAUGGGGCAAUGUUUUUCAUCUACAUAUGCGACAGUUGAUGUUCCGAGACAUGAAGUUAAUAUGAAACUUGAAGAUAUUAAGAGAAAUAAUUACACGUUUUCCGAUGGAAUCGGGAGAAUUUCACCCGAACUAGCACUUGAAGUUGCUGAAAAAUUGCAAUUAACCGAUAACCAACCCUGCGCGUAUCAGAUUAGGUACGCGGGCUGUAAGGGUGUUGUUGCUUGUUGGCCUAAUAAAGAAGGCGAGAACUUUAAGCUUUCGUUAAGGCGAAGUAUGAAUAAGUUUGAAUCUGAUCAUACGGUUCUUGAAAUAUGUUCUUGGACGCGGUUACAACCCGGGUUUUUGAACCGGCAGAUUAUAACGUUACUCUCUGCUUUAGAUGUUAAAGAUGAAAUCUUUUGGGACAUGCAGAUGAAAAUGGUCGAAAAGUUGAAUUUAAUGCUAGAAAAUACCGAAGUGGCAUUUGAUGUAAUUACUGCUUCAUGUGCUGAAAGUGGUAACACGGCUUCGAUUAUGUUGGGUUCAGGUUUUGACCCGAAAACUGAACCGCACCUACGGGGUAUGUUAAGCAGUAUACGUGUCGCCCAACUCGAAGAUUUACGGGAAAAGUCGAGAAUUUUCGUGAAUGACGGAAGGUGGUUGAUGGGGUGUUUUGAUGAAUUGGGUGUUCUCGAACAGGGUCAGUGUUUUAUACAAGUAUCGAACCCGUCUGUCGAGAAUUGUUUUGCGAAACACGGGUCAAGGUUUAGUGAAACGACUAGUAAUUUGACUGUGAUUGAGGGUACUGUGAUAAUCGCAAAGAACCCGUGUCUCCAUCCUGGUGAUGUUCGGGUUUUGAAAGCGGUAAAUGUACCAGGUCUCGAACAUUUGUUUGAUUGUUUGAUAUUUCCUCAAAAGGGAGACCGGCCCCACACUGAUGAAGCUUCCGGAAGCGAUCUGGAUGGAGAUCUAUAUUUUGUUACGUGGGAUGAAAAUCUUAUACCGCCUAGUAAACGGAGUUGGCCCCCUAUGGAGUAUACUGCCGCUGAAGCUAAAGAAUUAACACGUGACGUCAGAACCGCGGAUAUUGUCGAUUUUUUCACAAAAAACAUGGUGAAUGACAGUCUUGGCACAAUAUGUAACGCACAUGUUGUGCAUGCUGACUUGAGCGAUGACGGAGCCCUCGAUGAAAAAUGCUUAAAAUUAGCUGAACUGGCGGCGACGGCUGUCGAUUUUCCAAAAACCGGGAAGAUCGUCAACAUGCCAGCUCAGCUCAAGCCAAAGCAGUAUCCUGAUUUCAUGGGGAAAGAAAAUUUUCAGAGUUACAAAUCGGAAAAAAUUCUCGGGAAAUUAUAUCGACAAAUUAAAGAUUUCUACAACAGCGACAACAACACACCGUGUUCGGAGCUUGAAAUCCUCCCUUCUGGUAUCCCGUACGAUGAAGAUCUUGAAGUUCCUGACUCUGCGAGUUUUUUAAACGAUGCAUGGGAUUGCAAAUUGAAAUACGACCUACAAUUAAACGGGCUUCUUGGGCAAUAUAAAGUGUCCCGUGAAGAAGAAAUUGUCACGGGUCAUAUCUGGUCAAUGCCUAAGCAUGGUAGCAAGAAGCAAGGUGAAAUGAAAGAUAGAAUCAAACAUGCUUAUAGUGCUUUAAGGAAGGAGUUCCGGAAGGUGUUUGACCAACUCGGUGUCGACUUUGACCAGAUCUCGGAGGAGGAGGAGAGAAAUGCGGUUUUCGAGAAAAAAGCGUCUGCGUGGUAUCAAGUCACAUAUCAUCCUAUUUGGGUCAAGAAAUCUUUAAAGUUGCAAGAACCUGAUCGGGAGGGCGAAACAGUAAACUUGAGCUUUGCAUGGAUUGCUGCUGAUUAUCUUGCAAGAAUUAAGAUCAAGCGUAAGGGAGCGGGACCCGGGAAUUCUCAUAAGCCGAUUGAUAUGCUUGGGCGGUACAUUGCUGAUCGUAUAUGACCGGUUUUGGUUAUUUGAAGUUUUUAGCUGCAGCAGGGCCACUCUGCCAUUUUCCAAGGGGAAUAUUUGGUACUUCUAUGAUUAAAGGAAGCAAGCCAAAACAUGAGCUGGAAACAGGACACACUCUAUUUUGAAUAUUAAUUUUAGUGGAUGAGUUUCCAUUCUUUAACCUUUUGUUUUGGAAUUUCUUUGUUUAGAGAUAUGUCAUAAGUUAUCUUCUUGUUACUUUUUUUUAUCUUAAUUAAUAUUUGUAUUUUUGGUUAC